RNAcentral lists this ribosomal RNA (492 nucleotides) under uncultured bacterium. Its description in RNAcentral is "partial 16S ribosomal RNA". It matches the Rfam family "Bacterial small subunit ribosomal RNA", at positions 29 to 507 of the family's 1533-position model. The record is from RNAcentral.
AUUGAACGCUGGCGGCAUGCUUUACACAUGCAAGUCGAACGGUAACAGGCCUUCGGGUGCUGACGAGUGGCGAACGGGUGAGUAAUGCAUCGGAACGUACCCAGAGGUGGGGGAUAACGCAGCGAAAGCUGUGCUAAUACCGCAUGUGAUCUGAGGAUGAAAGCGGGGGACCGAGCAGCAAUGUUUGGCCUCGCGCCUUUGGAGCGGCCGAUGUCGGAUUAGCUAGUUGGUGGGGUAAAGGCCUACCAAGGCGACGAUCCGUAGCUGGUCUGAGAGGACGACCAGCCACACUGGAACUGAGACACGGCCCAGACUCCUACGGGAGGCAGCAGUGGGGAAUUUUGGACAAUGGGCGCAAGCCUGAUCCAGCAAUGCCGCGUGCGGGAAGAAGGCCUUCGGGUUGUAAACCGCUUUUGGCAGGAACGAAACGGUGUCCGCUAAUACCGGGCGCUAAUGACGGUACCUGCAGAAUAAGCGCCGGCUAACUACGUG